GCCAGCAGCCGCGGGAACACCGGCGGCCCGAGUGGUGAUCGUGAUUAUUGGGUCUAAAGGGUCCGUAGCCGGUUUGGUCAGUCCUCCGGGAAAUCUGAUAGCUCAACUAUUAGGCUUUCGGGGGAUACUGCCAGACUUGGAACCGGGAGAGGUAAGAGGUACUACAGGGGUAGGAGUGAAAUCUUGUAAUCCCUGUGGGACCACCUGUGGCGAAGGCGUCUUACCAGAACGGGUUCGACGGUGAGGGACGAAAGCUGGGGGCACGAACCGGAUUAGAUACCCGGGUAGUCCCAGCCGUAAACGAUGCUCGCUAGGUGUCAGGCAUGGCGCGACCGUGUCUGGUGCCGCAGGGAAGCCGUGAAGCGAGCCACCUGGGAAGUACGGCCGCAAGGCUGAAACUUAAAGGAAUUGGCGGGGGAGCACAACAACGGGUGGAAGCCUGCGGUUUAAUUGGACUCAACGCCGGACAACUCACCGGGGGCGACAGCAAUAUGUAGGCCAAGCUGAAGACUUUGCCUGAAUCGCUGAGAGGUGGUGCAUGG
RNAcentral lists this ribosomal RNA (542 nucleotides) under uncultured archaeon. RNAcentral's name for it is "bacterial SSU rRNA". It matches the Rfam family "Archaeal small subunit ribosomal RNA", at positions 457 to 997 of the family's 1478-position model. The record is from RNAcentral.